This 691-nucleotide ribosomal RNA is filed under the name Bacillus subtilis. RNAcentral's name for it is "bacterial SSU rRNA". It matches the Rfam family "Bacterial small subunit ribosomal RNA", at positions 556 to 1247 of the family's 1533-position model. The record is from RNAcentral. Lineage: Bacteria; Bacillati; Bacillota; Bacilli; Caryophanales; Bacillaceae.
GGGCGUAGAGGGCUCGCAGGCGGUUUCUUAAGUCUGAUGUGAAAGCCCCCGCCUCAACCGGGGAGGGUCAUUGGAAACUGGGGAACUUGAGUGCCUAAGAAGAGAGUGGAAUUCCACGUGUAGCGGUGAAAUGCGUAGAGAUGUGGAGGAACACCAGUGGCGAAGGCGACUCUCUGGUCUGUAACUGACGCUGAGGAGCGAAAGCGUGGGGAGCGAACAGGAUUAGAUACCCUGGUAGUCCACGCCGUAAACGAUGAGUGCUAAGUGUUAGGGGGUUUCCGCCCCUUAGUGCUGCAGCUAACGCAUUAAGCACUCCGCCUGGGGAGUACGGUCGCAAGACUGAAACUCAAAGGAAUUGACGGGGGCCCGCACAAGCGGUGGAGCAUGUGGUUUAAUUCGAAGCAACGCGAAGAACCUUACCAGGUCUUGACAUCCUCUGACAAUCCUAGAGAUAGGACGUCCCCUUCGGGGGCAGAGUGACAGGUGGUGCAUGGUUGUCGUCAGCUCGUGUCGUGAGAUGUUGGGUUAAGUCCCGCAACGAGCGCAACCCUUGAUCUUAGUUGCCAGCAUUCAGUUGGGCACUCUAAGGUGACUGCCGGUGACAAACCGGAGGAAGGUGGGGAUGACGUCAAAUCAUCAUGCCCCUUAUGACCUGGGCUACACACGUGCUACAAUGGACAGAACAAAGGGC